CAGAGCCACGGGAAUACGUAGGGUGCGAGCGUUAAUCGGAAUUACUGGGCGUAAAGCGUGCGCAGGCGGUUCGUUGAGACAGAUGUGAAAUCCCCAGGCUCAACCUGGGAAUGGCAGUGGAUACUGGCUCGCUAGAGUGUGUCAGAGGAUGGUGGGAUUCCCGGUGUAGCGGUGAAAUGCGUAGAGAUCGGGAGGAACAUCAGUGGCGAAGGCGGCCAUCUGGGACAACACUGACGCUGAGGCACGAAAGCGUGGGGAGCAAACAGGAUUAGAUACCCCUGUAGUCCCUGUCUCUUAUACA
This 301-nucleotide ribosomal RNA is filed under the name uncultured bacterium. RNAcentral describes it as "partial 16S ribosomal RNA". It matches the Rfam family "Bacterial small subunit ribosomal RNA", at positions 509 to 808 of the family's 1533-position model. The record is from RNAcentral.